GGCCUGAUGGUCUAGUGGUAUGAUUGUCGCUUCGGGAUUCUUGCCUGGCUGCCGAGCAGCUGUAUGUGACAGGCCCCGGGUUCGAAUCCCGGUCAGGCCC
Lindgomyces ingoldianus is the source of this 100-nucleotide non-coding RNA. Lineage: Eukaryota; Fungi; Ascomycota; Dothideomycetes; Pleosporales; Lindgomycetaceae. The record is from the annotation of a RefSeq genome assembly.